This 439-nucleotide long non-coding RNA is filed under the name Gallus gallus (chicken). RNAcentral describes it as "lncRNA (ENSGALG00010011939.1)". Lineage: Eukaryota; Metazoa; Chordata; Aves; Galliformes; Phasianidae. The record is from RNAcentral.
GUUGUCUCAGAACAUUUCAGGCCUUGGAUGGUCUAGAAGUACCCAUUUGCACUGCCAUUAAUGGUUCUGAAUGCCCCACAUCAGGUCCUAGGAACAGAGAUGAAAACCAAAUCUCAGAAUGGUCUGAAUUAUGUGCCUUGACUUAAAAGAUGAGUUCUCAGUCGUGGCAAACCCAAAGAGAGGCAAUUUUAAUUUGGCAAGCUCUGUACAAAUCCAAUCACCAUUUGGAACUCCAGGAGGAUUGUUCUACCUUGAUGAGUAACAAGAUACAUUGGAAUGUGCUUGGGAUUGUUCUUUCAGCCCUGGCAGAUCAUAAAGGGUGCUCUUCAGGCCUCCCUCAUUCUGCGCCUCAUAGAUACAUCAAGAGUCCUCUUACACUAAAGAGCAAAACUUGAAGCCAUCUCCAGAAUUCUAAUUUUUGUGCAUCAGCAUCUGGAAA